RNAcentral lists this long non-coding RNA (1341 nucleotides) under Anas platyrhynchos platyrhynchos (common mallard). RNAcentral's name for it is "lncRNA (ENSAPLG00000028160.1)". Lineage: Eukaryota; Metazoa; Chordata; Aves; Anseriformes; Anatidae. The record is from RNAcentral.
CCCCUCCCCAUCACUUGCCCAUCCCCAGCCUGCUGGCUCUUGGGGGCUCGGAAGGAGUCCUGAUGCUGUGCCAGCACUACGCAGCAAUAGACACAACACUGGAGUGAUAUCAGUGCUGUUCCAGCUAGGAGUGCAGAGCACAGCACUGUGUGGGCUGUUGCAGGGAAAAGGUGACUCCAGCUCAGACAGACCCAACACAAAUAUAAAUGUGGUAGCUGAAAAGGUAGCUAGUAAAUCUGAACAAUUUUUCAGACUGGUUUUUUUUUUUUUUUUUUUCAUAAUUAGUAUCUUGGCAAAAUUCAUUUGGAGAGGUUAAAAACAUACAUGUAUUUGGCUCUGACUGGCAGGAUUCAAGCAUCAAUAAAAAACAUUAGAGUACAUUAAAAGAAAAAAAAAAUAAAAAGAUAAGAACAUUUCCCCUAGUCCUUUUCACAACUGAAUUAUUUUCACUUAUGAAUGCCAACCUCGUUUAUUUCAACAUUUUAAAAAGAAUGUUUUGACUUUUCAGUUUGAAACAACAUUUUUCAUUUUAACAUUAAUGUCUGCAAUGAACAUGGGUUGAAACUAUUAUUUUUAAAUUUGUAUGUACUGUAUAUGAAUGUCAUUCUUUUGUGAAUUCAGAGCAUGACAGAGGCUUCAGCCUCAGGUUUAUGCACCCUUUCCAGGGGUGGAAAUAAUAACUUCACAAGGGGCUAGUGGUUUGUUAAUGCCCUAGAGGUUCCCAAGUAGUUGGAAAGAAGAUAAAGCACUAGUUGUGUGAUGUUAAUCUAAUCCAACUCCAAAAAUCUUAGUUCUCACCUCUGUUCCCAUUCCCUGUGCUGGAUGCCAUUGUCACCUUUUCUUUUGUGCCUCAGGUCACAUUUUGCAGCCCCAUGGUGAUCAGAGCAGGAACCAGCUCCAGCUGGAAAGUGACCUCUGCUUUUUUAUUUACAGCUGCAGGUUUUUUGAUCCUGCUGUCACAGAAAACUUUGUACUACAGUUAGAGACAGACAUAGAAAGAGGAAAGACAAAAUGGAAGCAAUAUCAUUAUGUGAAUGGUGUUGUGAAGUUUAAUGGAGACGUCAGGAUUAAUCAAAAGAAGACAGAAAAUGUGGAGAAAAUUAGAGUCACUGUCUAAUAGGUAGAUGAUGAAAAAUUACAAAACAUCUCCUUCUGAAGUCAACCACCUUCACUUUUCUGAAAAAAAAAAAAAAAUUGGGUUCCAAAUGCUGAGAGAGCCAAACAUUCAUCUAACUAAUUUAGAGGCCAACAGGUAAGAAGAAUAACUGUAUUAUGAGAAAUCAUUUGGAGCUGUGCAAACUGAAUGAUUUGAAAUGUCUGUGGGUAGAUUUUCAAAGGAGC